GACGAACGCUGGCGGCGCGCCUAACACAUGCAAGUCGAACGAGCGAGAGAGAGCUUGCUUUCUCGAGCGAGUGGCGAACGGGUGAGUAACGCGUGAGGAACCUGCCUCAAAGAGGGGGACAACAGUUGGAAACGACUGCUAAUACCGCAUAAGCCCACGGUGCCGCAUGGCACAGAGGGAAAAGGAGCAAUCCGCUUUGAGAUGGCCUCGCGUCCGAUUAGCUAGUUGGUGAGGUAAUGGCCCACCAAGGCGACGAUCGGUAGCCGGACUGAGAGGUUGAACGGCCACAUUGGGACUGAGACACGGCCCAGACUCCUACGGGAGGCAGCAGUGGGGAAUAUUGCACAAUGGGGGAAACCCUGAUGCAGCGACGCCGCGUGGAGGAAGAAGGUCUUCGGAUUGUAAACUCCUGUUGUUGGGGAAGAUAAUGACGGUACCCAACAAGGAAGUGACGGCUAACUACGUGCCAGCAGCCGCGGUAAAACGUAGGUCACAAGCGUUGUCCGGAAUUACUGGGUGUAAAGGGAGCGCAGGCGGGAAGACAAGUUGGAAGUGAAAUCUAUGGGCUCAACCCAUAAACUGCUUUCAAAACUGUUUUUCUUGAGUAGUGCAGAGAUAGGCGGAAUUCCCGGUGUAGCGGUGGAAUGCGUAGAUAUCGGGAGGAAGACCAGUGGCGAAGGCGGCCUACUGGGCACCAACUGACGCUGAGGCUCGAAAGUGUGGGUAGCAAACAGGAUUAGAUACCCUGGUAGUCCACACCGUAAACGAUGAUUACUAGGUGUUGGAGGAUUGACCCCUUCAGUGCCGCAGUUAACACAAUAAGUAAUCCACCUGGGGAGUACGACCGCAAGGUUGAAACUCAAAGGAAUUGACGGGGGCCCGCACAAGCAGUGGAGUAUGUGGUUUAAUUCGACGCAACGCGAAGAACCUUACCAAGUCUUGACAUCCCUUGACAGGCAUAGAAAUAUGUUUUCUCUUCGGAGCAAGGAGACAGGUGGUGCAUGGUUGUCGUCAGCUCGUGUCGUGAGAUGUUGGGUUAAGUCCCGCAACGAGCGCAACCCUUAUGGUCAGUUACUACGCAAGAGGACUCUGGCCAGACUGCCGUUGACAAAACGGAGGAAGGUGGGGAUGACGUCAAAUCAUCAUGCCCUUUAUGACUUGGGCUACACACGUACUACAAUGGCGUUAAACAAAGAGAAGCAAGACCGCGAGGUGGAGCAAAACUCAGAAACAACGUCCCAGUUCGGACUGCAGGCUGCAACUCGCCUGCACGAAGUCGGAAUUGCUAGUAAUCGUGGAUCAGCAUGCCACGGUGAAUACGUUCCCGGGCCU
RNAcentral lists this ribosomal RNA (1332 nucleotides) under uncultured bacterium. RNAcentral describes it as "bacterial SSU rRNA". It matches the Rfam family "Bacterial small subunit ribosomal RNA", at positions 28 to 1381 of the family's 1533-position model. The record is from RNAcentral.